Non-coding RNA from Varroa destructor (honeybee mite), 3272 nucleotides. NCBI's taxonomy places the organism in Eukaryota, Metazoa, Arthropoda, Arachnida, Mesostigmata, Varroidae. The record is from RefSeq and is a predicted model, not a curated record.
UCCGGCGAAUGUGAGAGGGAGCGAGAACGGUUGGCGGCACCGGGGGGCGAUGGCAAUCCCAGAAGAUUGCAGUGUAGCGGAGUGGCCUAUGACGUGGCGGCCGGGGUCACCACGAAGUGCGAGCGGCAACCCCACCGCCGCUGGGCCGCCAACACAUAAAAGGAGUUGCGCCCCUUUAUUUGAGCCGAGAAAGCAUAGAGUUUUGAACUAGCAAGGAGGUGCCACAGCUUUCAAGUUUGAAAAAGAUCACGCUAAUCCUUGACGCAGCGCUGUCGACGAACUCCGUAACGACUACUGAAGCGUCGUGAUGUGCCGCACCGCCAAUAACAUCAACACGAACUGCAGCGGAGCGAUGAGUACCGCGCUGUUGACGGUUGCCCUAGUCAUUGCAGUAUGCGCGGUAGGUACUUUCGGAAAGUUAGACGCGGAAUCACCGCCCAGCGCACCAUCUCCAGUUGAGUACCCUCCCCAAUACUUCGGUAUAGCUCGUCCUUCCGCUCAGAAUUAUUCUCAUAGACAUGAAAUGGAUUUUGCCAGAAGUCUCAGUUCAUGAAGAUCUUGAUAGUUUAAAGUACGCAAAUGCAACCGAUGCUUAUCAAGAAAAAUUGCCGAUGUCGCAAAGAUGAUGAGGAAUUACCGUAUCGGAUAUUCUAACCAAAACCUACUGGAGAAUGAUUGGACAUCAAGACAUGCUUGUUUAAAUUGCGGAUGACAGUAGAAGCCAUGAUGCGCCCCUUGAAGCAGAGUAUGUUCUUCUCAAAAAAGCUGACGUACCUCCAGCGCCUUGGAACCGCUUGUACAAUGAUUGGGGUAAAAGGGCUGAUAACUGGAAGAAUCUAAAUCACCUGUGGGGCAAACGGUCAGCUACACUUCCGACCCGGUGGGACAAACGCCCUCAGCCGCAGUGGAACGAGCUAUCCGGUUAUUGGGGAAAGCGUUCGGCCCAGUAAAUGUACCGCCUGAAUAGAAGUAAACAGAAAUGUACUGCAGAAGAAGGCUAGCUCUCGUUCUCACCGCUAUCCGUAAGUGAAAAGGACUUCGAAGACCAGGUGUCACCAUGGGGCAGUCGAUUUUAGCAGUAACCGGAUUCGUAAAGGAGCCGGCUGGAAACGAUGGAAAGCAUACAAAAACAUACAUUUUUUUGGAGGCCUAAGGCCUCUGAUGGCAAAAAUUGUUUACCGCACACAUAAUCAAUAAAAAAUACUAAAGGAUAUAUCCAGAUUCGAUGACAACAUCAUACUGGUCAUAAUGUCUAAUGAUUAUAGUCUAGCAAAGGAAUAUAACUCAACUUUAUCAAAAGAACGUGACUAUGAACCUAUUGAACAGGAAUACCAUUGCGAAGACGCUAAUAUCUUAGCGAUAAAUAAUAAAUAUAAGCAGCUUAUUUUCUAGAUUACAACAUAUAACGUACGCAUAAGUCAUUAAAAUAAUGAAACAAAUAUGGAAAGGCUAAUGUCGAAACGAAUGGAAACAUAGUAGGUUGAAACAAGCAAUGACAGCACCAAAAACAUCAAGUACUAUUUAACAAUCAAUUAUAUCAUUUACGUAAGAAGAUACAAAUAGGGACGGCACGGGUAUUGCAAAAGGCAAAAGGGUGCUUCUCAAAGCUCUCCGAUCAAGUUAGUCCUCUUUCCAGGACCGGAUCGGCGCUCUGCACGAAGGUGCAGGCCGUUUUCUAAUUUCUUUGCCACGCCGUGUUGAUUAUCAUUAGCAAGAACUGAACAACCGUCACAGCCAUUAGUUAACUAGAACAUAUACACAAAUAUCACCUUCACAUGAGAAGACCAAACGUUAUUUUUAAAACGUUUGUUCAAUUCAUAGCACGAUCGAGCCUAUGCAUGACGAAACCUCAGGGAAAACAAAGUUCUCGUAUCAACAGAUCGGACAGACGAGGUAAUGGAUAGUGACAAGUAAGCGGAUAAUCGGUCAUCGCCUCUUCGAAUGCGACCGUAAUCUCCGUGUGUAUUGGCUUAACUGAUCUCAAUCAUUAAGACAAUCUAUGACAAAAUCUCAUGAUUGAAGACGCGUUACUGUAUGGUGACAUGCCGCAUUGCACGGAGUACUAAUUUUCUAGGUCUCAAGAUUUUCAGCUCACUUGUUAAUUCACUACUAUGAGACCAUAUUUUUAUCUACAUAUUGUUGUUUUGUAUCAUACAGAUGUCCAAAUUCAAGACGUUAACGCUCACGCUUUAUGUAGAUGAGGAAAUUAGAUUUACACUAUAGGCAAGAGCUAAGUCCGCUAGCUUACCUACUGAAAUAUGAAGCAUGUUUAUAUAGCGACGAUUCUGGUAUUUUUUUUUGCAUGUAGAGCUACAAACGACAGUGUCUAGGAUUCAUGCUGCAAAAAUAAACAUUUUUUGAUAGAUCUCAAUUCUCCUAAGCUUCGUUGUUACCACAGAUGGAGUGACAACAUCCACGAGGCCCUGGCACUGCGAUUUAUUCGACUUUUUCGGGACGUAUGUUCCAAACGUUUUCGGUUCGUUAAGUAUUCACUCGCGACACGGCCGUAUACCAGCUUUCGUGCUCCACACUCUGCUCGUAAAGUAAAUAACACUACUCUAUCGCUUAUAACAAAAACCACCCCCCACUGAGCCACGGAAAUGCUAAUUCGAAGCUGGAAAGAGAGAACAACUAACGAUCAAUAACAUGUGACUGAUAAAGCUUCAAAAUAGUGCAUAAGCUAUAUACGAGAUAGUAACCAGGCAGGACGCAAAUGAUACCACACCGUAACCACUCUCAUAGAGUCAUUGGAAACACGGCUCUUAUUCUACUGACGGUAUUCUAACUUGCGACUUGUUCUACGCUACUUAAUGCAAUGAACGAAAUUGUAAUUCAUUUUUUAAUUUUUACAUAUAUAUUUCUUUUUAUCACAAAUGAAUAAUAAAACACAUUUUUCAACAAUAAAUAACAAUUCUGAAUUAAGGAAAAAUGAAAAUACCAAUAACUAAGGACUGCUGCGCGGAAGAUACCCUAUGGUAAGUUCACGUCUUCGUCUGACGAGAACAAAAGUAAUUGCUAAUCCCACAGAUCUUCACUAAGAGACCCUUGAUUCUCCCUUCCAGCAAUAUUGGACCCGAACGCAGCAACUAAUAUCAAUGACAGGGCGGACAAUAAUAUCACCAAAAGCAAGGAGAGAGUCUCAAUAGGGAAGAGACGACCCAUAGAUUGUCAAAUAUAACAACUACGUACUUUAGAGACACGGCGAUAACAAUGCAAUGCCAUAAUGUUGUAAAAGUAAACAUGCAAAUGAAGAGAAAAAAGACAAGUAAAAA